GACGUAGGGCGCGAGCGUUGUCCGGAUUUAUUGGGCGUAAAGAGCUCGUAGGCGGCUUGUCGCGUCGACUGUGAAAACCCGCGGCUUAACUGCGGGCUUGCGGUUGAUACGGGCGGGCUAGAGUUCGGUAGGGGAGACUGGAAUUCCUGGUGUAGCGGUGAAAUGCGUAGAUAUCUGGAGGAACACCGGUGGCGAAGGCGGCAUCCUGGACCGAUACUGACGCUGAGGAGCGAAAGCCAGGGGAGCAAACGGG
RNAcentral lists this ribosomal RNA (253 nucleotides) under uncultured bacterium. Its description in RNAcentral is "partial 16S ribosomal RNA". It matches the Rfam family "Bacterial small subunit ribosomal RNA", at positions 524 to 776 of the family's 1533-position model. The record is from RNAcentral.